CAGUAGCCGCGGUAAUACGGAGGGUGCAAGCGUUAAUCGGAAUUACUGGGCGUAAAGCGCACGCAGGCGGUCUGUCAAGUCAGAUGUGAAAUCCCCGGGCUUAACCUGGGAACUGCAUUUGAAACUGGCAGGCUAGAGUCUUGUAGAGGGGGGUAGAAUUCCAGGUGUAGCGGUGAAAUGCGUAGAGAUCUGGAGGAAUACCGGUGGCGAAGGCGGCCCCCUGGACAAAGACUGACGCUCAGGUGCGAAAGCGUGGGUAGCAAACAGGAUUAGAUACCCCGGUAGUCCCUGUCUCUUAUAC
Molecule: ribosomal RNA, 301 nt
Filed under: uncultured bacterium
Lineage: Bacteria
Description: partial 16S ribosomal RNA
Rfam family: Bacterial small subunit ribosomal RNA
Source: RNAcentral